AACUGAUGUGCCCGUGCAGAAGCGGGCAUAUUUACACAAGACGAGAAGACCCUAUGGAGCUUUAGACACCAACCAACCACGAAAAGCGACCCUGAUUGGAGCCCCAAACAACGUGAUUCUGGCAUAAGUGUCUUCGGUUGGGGCGACCACGGGAGAUAGCACAGCUCCCGAGUGGAUGGGGGACACCCUAAAACCCAGAGCCACAGCUCUAAGUCACAAAACAUUUGACCAAUAAUGAUCCGGCUUAAUGCCGACCAACGGACCAAGUUACCCUAGGGAUAACAGCGCAAUCCUCUCCCAGAGUCCAUAUCGACGAGGGGGUUUACGACCUCGAUGUUGGAUCAGGACAUCCUAAUGGUGCAGCCGCUAUUAAGGG
RNAcentral lists this ribosomal RNA (376 nucleotides) under Sardinops caeruleus. Its description in RNAcentral is "partial 16S ribosomal RNA". It matches the Rfam family "Bacterial large subunit ribosomal RNA", at positions 2040 to 2571 of the family's 2925-position model. The record is from RNAcentral. Lineage: Eukaryota; Metazoa; Chordata; Actinopteri; Clupeiformes; Clupeidae.